GCACCUAGCAAGAAUCCUAGAAAAAAGAAUACGUGCUUCAAAGUACGAAUGCUUAAACGUGUAACCGUUCAUAUACAUUGUACGCACGGAACUCCAAUCCCAAAUCAGAUGCCAAUAUUCGUACCAAUUCUUCGACUGGGAUGUAUUAAACAAAACAUGUAACAAAUAGUACUCGACGAAAGAAACAUCUAUAUAAACGCAGCUGACUGGUAGGUUUCGAAAAAUGCGACAGCGACUGUCAAAUAAUAAAACAUUGUUGGAUUUACAAAAGAGAAAUAAAUUACUGCAUUGCGCAUCGUUAUGUAGGUAGAUUCGCAAAUUUUUUAGAUGUGCCAGUCACUGAUUUGGCGAUUGAGUUCCGUAUUGAUAGAUUAUUGAUUCUGAAAUAAUAACAUUACCUUUGCGUUAAAUUAUUUAUUGCCUUUUUAAAUAAAGUCUUAAUUUAUAUGGUAGAUGUUCAUAAAAUAGUAAAAUAUUAUACAUAUACCCAAUGUUGCGUUAGAUAUGCAUAUUUUUAAAAAGCACAACAGGUGUACCAAUUUAGUAUAUUUUUAUAAAAAUUAGCACUAUAGAUCAAGUAUAUACGACGCAGUUGUUGUUUUUACAAGGCCACUCUUGCAAUAGCAGACACCUGGAUUUUUGUAAGGAUAGGACCAGUAUAAAGGCGACAUGAAAGGGCGUUUAUAAGAAAGCAUUGAAUGCCCUGCGAAGAAGGGUCCGCUUACGCUGCUUAUUGAUCUUGUCGGUGAGUCCUGCAUUGGUUCAGUCCUAUACCUACCACCAAUAUCUUCAACAGGAAAGAAUAUUUUCAUCGUUAUGUCUCUUAACAAAUAUCUGUCUUAAUAAAAUAAUUCUAACAAAUAUUUCUUCACUGUAUAUCAUUUAUAUGUAUAAGCAUAAACAUGAAAAUAAAAA
Long non-coding RNA from Bombus pascuorum, 915 nucleotides. RefSeq lists it as uncharacterized. The transcript is spliced from 2 exons. The record is from RefSeq and is a predicted model, not a curated record. Lineage: Eukaryota; Metazoa; Arthropoda; Insecta; Hymenoptera; Apidae.